RNAcentral lists this ribosomal RNA (427 nucleotides) under uncultured bacterium. RNAcentral's name for it is "bacterial SSU rRNA". It matches the Rfam family "Bacterial small subunit ribosomal RNA", at positions 355 to 774 of the family's 1533-position model. The record is from RNAcentral.
UGGGGAAUUUUGGACAAUGGGGGCAACCCUGAUCCAGCCAUUCCGCGUGAGUGAAGAAGGCCUUCGGGUUGUAAAGCUCUUUCGGCAGGAACGAAACGGCGAGCUCUAACAUAGCUUGCUAAUGACGGUACCUGAAGAAGAAGCACCGGCUAACUACGUGCCAGCAGCCGCGGUAAUACGUAGGGUGCGAGCGUUAAUCGGAAUUACUGGGCGUAAAGCGUGCGCAGGCGGUUGUGUAAGACAGGUGUGAAAUCCCCGGGCUCAACCUGGGAACUGCAUUUGUGACUGCAUAGCUGGAGUGCGGCAGAGGGGGAUGGAAUUCCGCGUGUAGCAGUGAAAUGCGUAGAUAUGCGGAGGAACACCGAUGGCGAAGGCAAUCCCCUGGGCCUGCACUGACGCUCAUGCACGAAAGCGUGGGGAGCAAACA